RNAcentral lists this ribosomal RNA (253 nucleotides) under uncultured bacterium. RNAcentral's name for it is "partial 16S ribosomal RNA". It matches the Rfam family "Bacterial small subunit ribosomal RNA", at positions 524 to 776 of the family's 1533-position model. The record is from RNAcentral.
UACAGAGGUCUCAAGCGUUGUUCGGAUUCAUUGGGCGUAAAGGGUGCGUAGGUGGCGCGAUAAGUCGGGUGUGAAAUCUCGGGGCUCAACCCCGAAACUGCACUUGAUACUGCCUUGCUCGAGUACUGGAGAGGAGAUUGGAAUUUACGGUGUAGCAGUGAAAUGCGUAGAUAUCGUAAGGAAGACCAGUGGCGAAGGCGAAUCUCUGGACAGUUACUGACACUGAGGCACGAAGGCCAGGGGAGCAAACGGG